Sorghum bicolor (sorghum) is the source of this 1244-nucleotide long non-coding RNA. RefSeq lists it as uncharacterized. The transcript is spliced from 2 exons. Lineage: Eukaryota; Viridiplantae; Streptophyta; Magnoliopsida; Poales; Poaceae. The record is from RefSeq and is a predicted model, not a curated record.
GAUAUUUUACAAGGUUGUGUAUCAUCAUAUCAUCUACAUGUGUGAUUUUUUGGUGAAUUUAGACGACUUUUUUGCCGUGGUUUGCACAGGUUUUCACGAAGGUGCUGGUUUCCACAAGAUAUGUUCCCAAACAUACUCAGACAUGAGGAUACAAAAUCAUGGUCCACGGAUCUCCCCAUAAAAUAAAUCACAAUUGACAAUUCUUGAUUGGCAAUAUAGAUACUUUCUAGGUUAUUGCAGUUUGUAGACUCAGAAUAUCUGAAAUCCCACUAGCUAACACAAAUCUCGUCUUGCCUCAUGUUUAAAUAGUUCUUUCUUGUAUUCUGUUAUUAAUGAUGAAAACGUAACUUAAGUACCUUUAUUUAUCUAAUGGUUAAGUCUAUGUUCAUAAUUCUACUAUAAGCACACUCGGAUUAACUUUUUUCUUCACAAUCAAUUUAUGCCAACAUAUUUGGUGAAACACAUGCUCUAUUAAACAGUUGCCUAGCUGUUACCGCAAAAGUUAAACAUGGAAUGCUGAUGCCACGGUAGAUCUUAUAGUGAUAAUUUUAUCUUUGAGUAUGGCCAGUUGAGGGAAAGUGUAAAUCAUUUGAUUAUCCAUGUAACUAACCUCGGGAAUUAGGGAAGAUGAUAACUCCAUUAGUGGAGAUAGACAUAUAUAGCCAGCCACAUGGGCCAUAUGGGCCUAUACUAGAUGGGCCUUCAUAUACUUAACAAUCCAGACAAUGGCAGCUUUGCAAGUGAAAGCACAUUUUCUGCUGUUGUAUAUUUUGUGUUAGCAGUACAAGAUAUUUGAUUAUCAGAAUUUGAAACUUUGGUAGACACACACACAACUGACAGGGCCAUGGAGAAGCAGUUCCUUGGAUAACAGUAUCUACUGGUGAUUGUGAAAAAAUGGUUUUUACCAGAUUACAUGCCUGAUUCAUCGGCUAGGCAAAGGAAGGUAGAAAGUCCAGGCGAAGAAGAUAAAUUUACCUACAUUGCUGUGAUGAUGAAGAUAAAUUUACCUACAUUGCUGUGCUGUUGUACAUGGAAACAGGGAAUGGGGCAAAUGCUUGCAUACUUCCCCCUGUUUUUGGAGCAAUUUUUCUCGAAUUUUGAGUGCAGUUUAUCUGAGUUUCUUUCCAGAAAGAAUUUUGACAUCCUAUUUGUUAGUGGAGCUGGAGUAACAAUUCUAUUUGAUUUGUGUGCUAGAGUACCCCUAAUAAUGAGUAAUGUCACAAAAAAUAAAAAAAUUUAAAUAA